Humulus lupulus (European hop) is the source of this 846-nucleotide long non-coding RNA. RefSeq lists it as uncharacterized. The record is from RefSeq and is a predicted model, not a curated record. NCBI's taxonomy places the organism in Eukaryota, Viridiplantae, Streptophyta, Magnoliopsida, Rosales, Cannabaceae. The transcript is spliced from 4 exons.
AGCCAUUUUGGUUAAUGACUUUGAUUAUGAAAUAAUAUUUAUAAUUAUAUUAUUUCAUAAUAAUAAUUCUAACACAGACUGUACAGCUAGGUAUGUGGAGAAAAAAAGCAAAGGAGCCACCACCAAGCUCAGACCUUGCAUUGUUUUUCAUCUCACCUCUCCCACUCUCUCCAACGAAGAGGUGCAUGCACCUACUGAAAUUUUAUUUUAUCUCUUCUACCACGUGUUGUCAUUCUCCAACACGUCUUGAAUGAAUCACCUCUGCUUAUUUCUCAUUUAUACAGACUGAACUACAAUAAAAUUUUGCUUUCGUGAAAGUGGUUUACAAAUUAGUCGCCAUAAUCAAAUCCUUCCCGCCUCCAGCUAUCAAGACCAUCGAGCUUUAUGGUUCACCUUUUGGUGUCACUGCUAUCAGCCAUAAAGUAUCCCUUGAAAAUUUAUCACUUAUUCGAAUCAACCUUUGAAUUUUGAAGCUAUACUGCAGAAGCUACGCGAGAAUAACUUCUAUUCCAAUUCAAAUUGUAUCUGGUACUCACUCAAUUCUGCUAAUCAUUACAAAACAAUUGAAUUAAAUAUGUUAAGUCACAACGUGUAAUAUUGUCACAAUUGUGGUUGCUAUAGUAGUAUACAUUAUUUUAUAUAUGUAGAUAUAUGUAGAUACAUCACUUUUUGGUGGGUUUUGAGGGAAAGUAGAUAUAGGAUUAUUGGAGAAGCUAAUAAGAGAAUGAAUAAGAAUGUUUGGGGAGUGAUGCGUAAUGUUUUUGACUGUGUUAUUAGUCAGUGUGGUGGGAUGAAAAUUUUGCUACAAUUGUUGUUGUUGUUGAAGGAAUGAUAAUCCAUUUGAUA